UACGUAGGGGGCGAGCGUUGUCCGGAAUUAUUGGGCGUAAAGGGCGCGUAGGUGGCCGAGUAAGUUAUCUGUGAAAUCCCAUGUUUUAAGCAUGGACGUGCAGGUAAAACUGCUUGGCUUGAGUGCAGGAGAGGGAAGCGGAAUUCCAAGUGUAGCGGUGAAAUGCGUAGAGAUUUGGAGGAACACCAGUGGCGAAGGCGGCUUUCUGGACUGUAACUGACACUGAGGCGCGAAAGCGUGGGGAGCAAACAGGAUUAGAUACCCUGGUAGUCCACGCUGUAAACGAUGGAUGCUAGGUGUGGGAGGUAUCGACCCCUUCCGUGCCGGAGUUAACGCAAUAAGCAUCCCGCCUGGGGAGUACGGCCGCAAGGUUGAA
RNAcentral lists this ribosomal RNA (376 nucleotides) under uncultured bacterium. RNAcentral's name for it is "bacterial SSU rRNA". It matches the Rfam family "Bacterial small subunit ribosomal RNA", at positions 524 to 898 of the family's 1533-position model. The record is from RNAcentral.